This 297-nucleotide ribosomal RNA is filed under the name uncultured bacterium. Its description in RNAcentral is "partial 16S ribosomal RNA". It matches the Rfam family "Bacterial small subunit ribosomal RNA", at positions 32 to 320 of the family's 1533-position model. The record is from RNAcentral.
AAUCAACGCUGGCGGCGUGCCUCAGACAUGCAAGUCGAACGAUUAAAGCUCUCUUCGGAGAGUGCAUAGAGUGGCGCACGGGUGAGUAACACGUAAGUAAUCUACCUUCGAGUGGGGAAUAACGUCCGGAAACGGACGCUAAUACCGCAUAAUGCAGCGGCAUCGCAAGAUGACAGUUGUUAAAGGAGCAAUUCGCUUGAAGAGGAGCUUGCGGCAGAUUAGCUAGUUGGUAAGUAAUGGCUUACCAAGGCUACGAUCUGUAACCGGUCUAAGAGGACGGUCGGUCACACUGACACU